AUACGGAGGGUCCAAGCGUUAUCCGGAUUCAUCGGGUUUAAAGGGUCCGCAGGCGGGAAAAUAAGUCAGUGGUGAAAGCCUACAGCUCAACUGUAGAACUGCCAUUGAUACUGUUUUUCUUGAGUAUAGAUGAAGUGGGCGGAAUAUAUCAUGUAGCGGUGAAAUGCAUAGAUAUGAUAUAGAACACCGAUUGCGAAGGCAGCUCACUAAACUAUUACUGACGCUCAGGGACGAAAGCGUGGGGAGCGAACAGGAUUAGAAACCCCAGUAGUCC
Molecule: ribosomal RNA, 274 nt
Filed under: uncultured bacterium
Lineage: Bacteria
Description: partial 16S ribosomal RNA
Rfam family: Bacterial small subunit ribosomal RNA
Source: RNAcentral